AGCGUACACGGUGGAUGCCCUGGCAGUCAGAGGCGAUGAAGGACGUGCUAAUCUGCGAAAAGCGCCGGUAAGGUGAUAUGAACCGUUAUAACCGGCGAUGUCCGAAUGGGGAAACCCGGUGCACUUCGGUGCAUCAUCGUUAGCUGAAUACAUAGGCUAACGAGGCGAACCGGGGGAACUGAAACAUCUAAGUACCCCGAGGAAAAGAAAUCAACCGAGAUUCCCCCAGUAGCGGCGAGCGAACGGGGAACAGCCCAGAGCCUGAAUCAGCUUGUGUGUCAGUGGAACGGUCUGGAAAGGCCGGCGAUACAGGGUGACAGCCCCGUACACGAAGGCACACAGGCUGUGAGCUCGAUGAGUAGGGCGGGACACGUGAUAUCCUGUCUGAAGAUGGGGGGACCAUCCUCCAAGGCUAAAUACUCCUGACUGACCGAUAGUGAACCAGUACCGUGAGGGAAAGGCGAAAAGAACCCCGGCGAGGGGAGUGAAACAGAACCUGAAACCGUGUACGUACAAGCAGUGGGAGCCUUCGUAAGAGGGUGACUGCGUACCUUUUGUAUAAUGGGUCAGCGACUUAUAUUCUGUAGCAAGGUUAACCGUAUAGGGGAGCCGAAGGGAAACCGAGUCUUAAUUGGGCGUUAAGUUGCAGGGUAUAGACCCGAAACCCGGUGAUCUAGCCAUGGGCAGGUUGAAGGUUGGGUAACACUAACUGGAGGACCGAACCGACUAAUGUUGAAAAAUUAGCGGAUGACCUGUGGCUGGGGGUGAAAGGCCAAUCAAACCGGGAGAUAGCUGGUUCUCCCCGAAAGCUAUUUAGGUAGCGCCUCGUGAACUCAUCUCCGGGGGUAGAGCACUGUUUCGGCUAGGGGGCCAUCCCGGCUUACCAACCCGAUGCAAACUGCGAAUACCGGAGAAUGUUAUCACGGGAGACACACGGCGGGUGCUAACGUCCGUCGUGAAGAGGGAAACAACCCAGACCGCCAGCUAAGGUCCCAAAGUCAUGGUUAAGUGGGAAACGAUGUGGGAAGGCCCAGACAGCCAGGAUGUUGGCUUAGAAGCAGCCAUCAUUUAAAGAAAGCGUAAUAGCUCACUGGUCGAGUCGGCCUGCGCGGAAGAUGUAACGGGGCUAAACCAUGCACCGAAGCUGCGGCAGCGACGCUUAGGCGUUGUUGGGUAGGGGAGCGUUCUGUAAGCCUGUGAAGGUGUGCUGUGAGGCAUGCUGGAGGUAUCAGAAGUGCGAAUGCUGACAUAAGUAACGAUAAAGCGGGUGAAAAGCCCGCUCGCCGGAAGACCAAGGGUUCCUGUCCAACGUUAAUCGGGGCAGGGUGAGUCGACCCCUAAGGCGAGGCCGAAAGGCGUAGUCGAUGGGAAACAGGUUAAUAUUCCUGUACUUGGUGUUACUGCGAAGGGGGGACGGAGAAGGCUAUGUCAGCCGGGCGACGGUCGUCCCGGUUUAAGCGUGUAGGCUGACUUUCCAGGCAAAUCCGGAAAGUUAAGGCUGAGGCGUGAUGACGAGGCACCACGGUGCUGAAGUGACAAAUGCCCUGCUUCCAGGAAAAGCCUCUAAGCAUCAGGUAACAUCAAAUCGUACCCCAAACCGACACAGGUGGUCAGGUAGAGAAUACCAAGGCGCUUGAGAGAACUCGGGUGAAGGAACUAGGCAAAAUGGUGCCGUAACUUCGGGAGAAGGCACGCUGACAUGUAGGUGAAGCCCCUGCGGGUGGAGCUGAAGUCAGUCGAAGAUACCAGCUGGCUGCAACUGUUUAUUAAAAACACAGCACUGUGCAAACACGAAAGUGGACGUAUACGGUGUGACGCCUGCCCGGUGCCGGAAGGUUAAUUGAUGGGGUUAUCGCAAGAGAAGCUCCUGAUCGAAGCCCCGGUAAACGGCGGCCGUAACUAUAACGGUCCUAAGGUAGCGAAAUUCCUUGUCGGGUAAGUUCCGACCUGCACGAAUGGCGUAAUGAUGGCCAGGCUGUCUCCACCCGAGACUCAGUGAAAUUGAACUCGCUGUGAAGAUGCAGUGUACCCGCGGCAAGACGGAAAGACCCCGUGAACCUUUACUACAGCUUGACACUGAACAUUGAGCCUUGAUGUGUAGGAUAGGUGGGAGGCUUUGAAGCGUGGACGCCAGUCUGCGUGGAGCCAACCUUGAAAUACCACCCUUUAAUGUUUGAUGUUCUAACCUGGCGCCAUAAUCUGGCGUGGGGACAGUGUCUGGUGGGUAGUUUGACUGGGGCGGUCUCCUCCCAAAGUGUAACGGAGGAGCACGAAGGUCAGCUAAUCCUGGUCGGACAUCAGGAGGUUAGUGCAAUGGCAUAAGCUGGCUUGACUGCGAGAGUGACGGCUCGAGCAGGUGCGAAAGCAGGUCAUAGUGAUCCGGUGGUUCUGUAUGGAAGGGCCAUCGCUCAACGGAUAAAAGGUACUCCGGGGAUAACAGGCUGAUACCGCCCAAGAGUUCAUAUCGACGGCGGUGUUUGGCACCUCGAUGUCGGCUCAUCACAUCCUGGGGCUGAAGUAGGUCCCAAGGGUAUGGCUGUUCGCCAUUUAAAGUGGUACGCGAGCUGGGUUUAGAACGUCGUGAGACAGUUCGGUCCCUAUCUGCCGUGGGCGCUGGAGAAUUGAGGGGGGCUGCUCCCAGUACGAGAGGACCGGAGUGGACGCAUCACUGGUGUUCGGGUUGUCAUGCCAAUGGCACUGCCCGGUAGCUAAAUGCGGAAGAGAUAAGUGCUGAAAGCAUCUAAGCACGAAACUUGCCCCGAGAUGAGUUCU
RNAcentral lists this ribosomal RNA (2772 nucleotides) under Cronobacter malonaticus. Its description in RNAcentral is "bacterial LSU rRNA". It matches the Rfam family "Bacterial large subunit ribosomal RNA". Lineage: Bacteria; Pseudomonadati; Pseudomonadota; Gammaproteobacteria; Enterobacterales; Enterobacteriaceae. The record is from RNAcentral.